Arvicanthis niloticus (Nile rat) is the source of this 141-nucleotide non-coding RNA. NCBI's taxonomy places the organism in Eukaryota, Metazoa, Chordata, Mammalia, Rodentia, Muridae. The record is from RefSeq and is a predicted model, not a curated record.
UCACCCUGGCAAUGGCCAGAAUACCAUGUUGGUGGUGGUAUUCUUAUAUUGGUCAGGGACAGAGUAAAUGGCAGACCUUUGUUUAUCCUAGCUUGAUGCCUAGCUUGGCGGCCAAAGCAGUUUUAUGCCUAGGACUCAUAA